RNAcentral lists this ribosomal RNA (553 nucleotides) under uncultured marine eukaryote. RNAcentral describes it as "SSU rRNA". It matches the Rfam family "Eukaryotic small subunit ribosomal RNA", at positions 616 to 1171 of the family's 1831-position model. The record is from RNAcentral.
CGGUUAAAAAGCUCGUAGUUGGAUCUCGGCAAGUAGAGGGCGGUAUGCUUCGUAGCAUUACUGCCCUAUUACUUGUAGUUUUGCCAGAGGUUCCUGGGUGCUCUUAAUCGAGUGUCUAGGGAUGCUGGCAGGUUUACUUUGAAAAAAUUAGAGUGCUCAAAGCAGGCUAUUACGCUUGAAUAUUCGUGCAUGGAAUAAUAGAAUAGGAAGUUGUUUCUAUUUUGUUGGUUUUCGGAAAUCGACUUAAUGAUUAAUAGGGACAGUCGGGAGCAUUUGUAUUCAAACGACAGAGGUGAAAUUCUUGGACCGUUUGAAGACAAACUACUGCGAAAGCAUUUGCCAAGAAUGUUUUCAUUAAUCAAGAACGAAAGUUAGAGGUUCGAAGGCGAUUAGAUACCGCCCUAGUUCUAACCAUAAACGAUGCCAGCUAGCGAUCUGAGGACGUUUUUUUUGUAGACUCCUCAGGAAGCUUCCGGGAAACCAAAGCGUGUGGUUCCGGGGGAAGUAUGGUUGCCAAGCUGAAACUUAAAGGAAUUGACCGAAGGGCACCACC